Molecule: ribosomal RNA, 406 nt
Filed under: uncultured Methylomirabilota bacterium
Lineage: Bacteria; Methylomirabilota (SeqCode)
Description: bacterial SSU rRNA
Rfam family: Bacterial small subunit ribosomal RNA
Source: RNAcentral
CGUGGAGACAGGUGGUGCAUGGCUGUCGUCAGCUCGUGUCGUGAGAUGUUGGGUUAAGUCCCGCAACGAGCGCAACCCUCGUCCUUAGUUGCCAGCAUUAAGUUGGGCACUUUAAGGAGACUGCCGGUGUCAAACCGGAGGAAGGUGGGGACGACGUCAAGUCCUCAUGGCCUUUAUGCCCAGGGCUACACACGUGCUACAAUGGGCGGCACAAAGGGCAGCGACGCCGCGAGGUGUAGCAAAUCCCAAAAAGCCGGUCUAAGUUCAGAUUGGAGUCUGCAACUCGACUCCAUGAAGGAGGAAUCGCUAGUAAUCGCGCAUCAGCACGGCGCGGUGAAUACGUUCCCGGGCCUUGUACACACCGCCCGUCACACCACGAAAGUCUGCUGUACUCGAAGUCGCUGAG